This 716-nucleotide ribosomal RNA is filed under the name uncultured Fusobacterium sp. RNAcentral describes it as "bacterial SSU rRNA". It matches the Rfam family "Bacterial small subunit ribosomal RNA", at positions 33 to 762 of the family's 1533-position model. The record is from RNAcentral. Lineage: Bacteria; Fusobacteriati; Fusobacteriota; Fusobacteriia; Fusobacteriales; Fusobacteriaceae.
ACGCUGACAGAAUGCUUAACACAUGCAAGUCAACUUGAAUUUGGGUUUUUAACUUAGAUUUAGGUGGCGGACGGGUGAGUAACGCGUAAAGAACUUGCCUCACAGCUAGGGACAACAUUUAGAAAUGAAUGCUAAUACCUGAUAUUAUGAUUUUAAGGCAUCUUAGAAUUAUGAAAGCUAUAUGCGCUGUGAGAGAGCUUUGCGUCCCAUUAGCUAGUUGGAGAGGUAACAGCUCACCAAGGCGAUGAUGGGUAGCCGGCCUGAGAGGGUGAACGGCCACAAGGGGACUGAGACACGGCCCUUACUCCUACGGGAGGCAGCAGUGGGGAAUAUUGGACAAUGGACCGAGAGUCUGAUCCAGCAAUUCUGUGUGCACGAUGAAGUUUUUCGGAAUGUAAAGUGCUUUCAGUUGGGAAGAAAUAAAUGACGGUACCAACAGAAGAAGUGACGGCUAAAUACGUGCCAGCAGCCGCGGUAAUACGUAUGUCACGAGCGUUAUCCGGAUUUAUUGGGCGUAAAGCGCGUCUAGGUGGUUAUGUAAGUCUGAUGUGAAAAUGCAGGGCUCAACUCUGUAUUGCGUUGGAAACUGUAUAACUAGAGUACUGGAGAGGUAAGCGGAACUACAAGUGUAGAGGUGAAAUUCGUAGAUAUUUGUAGGAAUGCCGAUGGGGAAGCCAGCUUACUGGACAGAUACUGACGCUAAAGCGCGAAAGCGU